CUGCGUCCACAGAUGGAUUUUGAGUGGUCUGCUAUUCUGAUGAACUGCAUGAGGACACGGGAGGGACACAAACCCGUGCGUCCUGUCUCUGUGGUGGCCCUGACUGAACUGGGGAGCACAUCU
Small nucleolar RNA from Tupaia belangeri (northern tree shrew), 123 nucleotides. The record is from Ensembl. NCBI's taxonomy places the organism in Eukaryota, Metazoa, Chordata, Mammalia, Scandentia, Tupaiidae.